RNAcentral lists this transfer RNA (74 nucleotides) under Cordylochernes scorpioides. RNAcentral's name for it is "tRNA-Thr". The record is from RNAcentral. Lineage: Eukaryota; Metazoa; Arthropoda; Arachnida; Pseudoscorpiones; Chernetidae.
UGUCCAGGGGCGGGAAUCGAACCCACAACCUUCCGCUUACCGGGCAGAUGCCAUGUCCACUAGGCUACCCUGUC